Molecule: ribosomal RNA, 200 nt
Filed under: uncultured bacterium
Lineage: Bacteria
Description: partial 16S ribosomal RNA
Rfam family: Bacterial small subunit ribosomal RNA
Source: RNAcentral
UACGAAGGGUGCAAGCGUUGUUCGGAUUUAUUGGGCGUAAAGCGCGCGCAGGCGGAUAUGUAAGCCAGAUGUGAAAUCUCGGGGCUCAACCUCGAAACUGCGUCUGGAACUGCUUAUCUAGAGUCUUGGAGAGGGAAGUGGAAUCUCGCAUGUAGGGGUAAAAUCCGUAGAGAUGCGAGGGAACACCAGAGGCGAAGGCG